CUUCAACGACCCCAGCCACAAAGGCUCCCGGCCCGCCGGCCGCUUUCCGUACGUGGCCAGCAACGCCUGCGCCUC
Molecule: non-coding RNA, 75 nt
Organism: Streptomyces sp.
Lineage: Bacteria; Bacillati; Actinomycetota; Actinomycetes; Kitasatosporales; Streptomycetaceae
Source: Rfam